GGGUUGUGAGGUUAAGCGACUAAGCGUACACGGUGGAUGCCCUGGCAGUCAGAGGCGAUGAAGGACGUGCUAAUCUGCGAAAAGCGUCGGUAAGGUGAUAUGAACCGUUACAGCCGGCGAUGUCCGAAUGGGGAAACCCAGUGCAAUUCGUUGCACUAUCGUUAACUGAAUACAUAGGUUAACGAGGCGAACCGGGGGAACUGAAACAUCUAAGUACCCC
Molecule: ribosomal RNA, 220 nt
Filed under: Klebsiella pneumoniae
Lineage: Bacteria; Pseudomonadati; Pseudomonadota; Gammaproteobacteria; Enterobacterales; Enterobacteriaceae
Description: partial 23S ribosomal RNA
Rfam family: Bacterial large subunit ribosomal RNA
Source: RNAcentral